RNAcentral lists this ribosomal RNA (542 nucleotides) under uncultured Hygrophorus. RNAcentral's name for it is "eukaryotic LSU rRNA". The stretch from base 129 to 282 matches the Rfam family "5.8S ribosomal RNA". Lineage: Eukaryota; Fungi; Basidiomycota; Agaricomycetes; Agaricales; Hygrophoraceae. The record is from RNAcentral.
CAUUCCAAAUUUCACACCCUGUGCACUUUUUGUAGGCCGACUUUAAAAAGUUGGUCUAUGUUUUUAAUAACACCCAAAGAAGUUUAGAAUGUUUAUUUGUAGCUUGCUUGCAAGCUUAAAAAUUAUACAACUUUCAACAACGGAUCUCUUGGCUCUCGCAUCGAUGAAGAACGCAGCGAAAUGCAAUAAGUAAUGUGAAUUGCAGAAUUCAGUGAAUCAUCGAAUCUUUGAACGCACCUUGCGCUCCUUGGUAUUCCGAGGAGCAUGCCUGUUUGAGUGUCAUUAAAUUCUCAAUCUCCUCAUACUAUUUUGUUUGUGGGAGGCUUGGAUUUGGAGUGUUGCUGGCUUUUUUGAAUCAGCUCCUCUUAAAUAUAUCAGCGUGUACCCUUUGUGGAUAGGCUUUUGGUUUGAUAAUUAUCAUAUAUGCCAUUGCCGUGAAGCAAAUGUCAGCUCUCUAAUAGUCCUUCUAGGACAACUUGAUAUUUUGACCUCAAAUCAGGUAGGACUACCCGCUGAACUUAAGCAUAUCAAUAAGCGGAGGA